UAUCUCUGUAGAGUCUGCAUAUCAAUAAGCGGAGGAAAAGAAACUAACAAGGAUUCCCUUAGUAACGGCGAGUGAAGCGGGAAGAGCUCAAAUUUGAAAUCUUCAAGGUUCUACCUUGACGAAUUGUAGUUUAAAGAAGUGUUUUCUGUUAGAUGAGUAGCAAAUAGUUCCUUGGAAUGGGACAUCAUAGAGGGUGAGAAUCCCGUAUUUGGUUAUUCAUUCUAGCUUUGUGAUACACUUUCAAAGAGUCGGAUUGUUUGGGAAUGCAGUCCAAAAUGGGUGGUAAAUUUCAUCUAAAGCUAAAUAUUGGCGAGAGACCGAUAGCGAACAAGUACCGUGAGGGAAAGAUGAAAAGAACUUUGAAAAGAGAGUUAAACAGUACGUGAAAUUGUCAAAAGGGAAGCGUUUGACACCAGUGUUGUUUUUCCGAAAAUCAAUUACGAAUGGCUUGAUUUUGUGUUGUAUUGACCUUAUCAGCUUUCUGCACUUUUUUCGAGUCUUUCUUAAUGCACUUUUCGGUUAACAAGUCAACAUCAAUUUCUUUUGUUGUAAAAGAGUAUUCGGAAGGUGGCUUUCUUUUCGGAGAAAGUGUUUAUAGCCCUAUACUUCUACAAUCGGAGAGAUUGAGGUCUGCAGCGUAGAUCCUUCGGGGUUAGAUACAUUUGUGCUAAGUUGUAGCUUUUCAUAGACAACUUGUUGACUAUGUUUAGUCAUGCGGCUUACUCGCUUAUGCUAUUUUACCUACGCUUAGGAUGUUGACUGAUAUGUAGUCGUA
Molecule: ribosomal RNA, 775 nt
Filed under: uncultured Neocallimastigales
Lineage: Eukaryota; Fungi; Neocallimastigomycota; Neocallimastigomycetes; Neocallimastigales
Description: partial large subunit ribosomal RNA
Rfam family: Eukaryotic large subunit ribosomal RNA
Source: RNAcentral